CAACCAUUGUGCACCAUGAGAAAGCAAAAAGUUCUUAAUUUGCUAUUUGUUCUUAAUAAUGUCAUAGAAAACAAUCCAAAGGCCAUGCCCAUAUUAAGUUAUAACCAUUUUUUUUCUAUUCCAUUCAUGAGAUCUGUUGCCAUGUUCUACAAGAAAAUUAUUUGGCUUGACAUGAUUUAUUCCCGAUAAGUCCACAGAGGUUUCUACUUGUCUCCUUGUUAUCUUCUAAAUGCUCUGAAAUAAUGUACAUAUAGCCCUGAAUUCUAGGGCAUUUGAUGUUAAAGCAGCUAGGCUGUAAUUCUUCAUUUCCACCUUUUCAGUAAAAAUGUUUGCUGUGUUCCAGUCUCCUAGGACUUCACCCUUCCACAGUGGUUUUCAAAGACAGCUGUUUAUAAAGAGUUUCAUGCUGUUCUCUAAAUAUCUUCUAGAGCAAAUCAUCAGGACAAGUUGAGAUGUUCUGCUCUCUAACCUGAUCUUUCUUUUUUGCUUGAGCUCCUGGUGGACCUUUGUAAUGAACGGGAUGCCUGAAUAGGCUAGGUAGGGAGUGCCCCUAUUUUUUUAAUUGGUCUUUGUACCCCCAAAGGUUUUACUAAUUCUGAUGGAAUUCUGACCUAUGUCUAAGGCUUUUAAGUGGCCUUAUACUUAAUAUAAUUAAAUAAGUGUUGUGAAGUGAGGUUUCAAGACUGACAGCUAGAUAAGAUACUGAAUUCUGUUCACAUAGGAAUGUGGUAUUUGCAGAAAAGAGAACAACUUAAAAAUUAAGCUAGUCAACACAUCCCACCUGAGCAGGACAUAACUAUAUCACAUGUUCCUUUUGUGUUUUACAGAUUAUAUAAGCAGCAUUUGCAUUAUACAUGCCGUUUUCAUAAGAAAAUAUUUAACUGUGCAACACAACAUACUAUGCCUAUCUAGUGAUUAGCUAGUGAUUUUCAAAAAUGCUGUAUUUUUAUGCAUUUUAACAUUCCAAUAUGCAUAGUUUAAAUAAUUUUAGUCAGCUUUCUACAAACAAAUUACUAAUUGAAAUAUUCAGUAAGGAUUGCAAGCUGUCUGCCUCAUUUACACUUGCUAGAAUGUGAAUUGUAUUACAUCUAAUAUUUAAGACACACUAAUAAGCUAAGCUACAUUGCAGCUUAACUACUUAUUUUGAUGUAGAAGCGCUCACCCUCUAGUGACUUAAAAGAGAUUUUGUCUUUUUUUUUUUUUUUUUAAUCUGUUAUGAUCAAAUAUUUAGUGAGGAACAAAAAUCUCUGAUUUCCCAAGGGGAAUGCUCCCCAUAACAACAAUAAUCUUUUUUUAAUAUUGAUGAAAUCUUUUAAAACCACCUACCUUAAUUAAAUUUUAUUUUAAUAGUAUAGGACUUAUUUAGAUGAGAUAGUCACUGUGUUGAGACUUCUCUGAAUAGUACCUGGACUAAUUCUUUUCUGUUUCAUGUUUUAGGUCAAGCUGCAAUUCUGUCUUUAUGAUAUUGGUUGUCAGAGCACAGAACUGAUAUUUUCCUCAUCUCUCCCUCAGCUUGUGCCUACCUUAAAUAUCUCAGGCGCUUCACUUCCAAUUUAUCAAACAGACUUAUCAAAAGGACUAGGUUUUUAAUUUUAUAUGAGACACUUCAAAAGUGUCCCACUAAUGCAACUGGAGUCAAAUUCCCCAAAUUGCUCAUCAUGUUCCCAAUCCCAUAUCCAAUAGCUGCUAAAGCUAAAAUCCUUUUGAAAAUCAUUGCCUCAGUCACUGAAACUAUUAGUGGGUUUUUAAUGUUGUGUUUCGUAGGGCUUAUAAUGCCAUUCAAAAUGUUUUCUACAUGCCUUUAAUUUUCCUUCCUAAGUAUGUGCCUUCUAUUCAGGCACAUUCUAUUAUUAUAACUAUUUGAAUGACCCAUGCUUCAGUCUAUCAAAGUACUAAAGUAUCUGCUUAAGCAUAUAAGCAGCCCACAGAAUCCAGUGACCUUUCAAGUUGCAUAACCAAGUGCUUCACAUUGGAACUUAUUUUGGCUGAUGGUCGUGAGUUUGCGUUGCCAAGGGAAUUUUUGGUGACAAUAGGAGAUUAACUUAAGGCUCUGAACAGAGACAAAAUUAUAAAAAAAAAAUAAAUACUUUACUGCUAUAGCUGGAUGAGAGGGAAAUAUUGGUUUAUUUUUAUACACAACAGAACAAUUGCUAUUUUUCUUUUAUCUUGACAGAGAUUGGAAAACACCCUGCACCAUGACAAUGUGUAUGGUUUUAUCUGCUUUCCUCCCCAGCCCUUACAUUUCCAUUUAUUUUUCUGCAGUAUGUUAUUAAGCUGCUUGAAACAUGCAAGUUUUUUUUGUUUGUUAACUUUGAUUUUGGAAACUGGUGAUAAUGAUGUGUUUACCACUGUCAAUAGUGAAAGUAUCUAUUGUUAUUUAACAUUUGCAGUUUAGGGGGAUCUGUAAUACAAAGAGAGACAGUAAUGCAACUACUAUCAAGAGAGUUGCCAGCCCAGGUACAGAAACAUUCCUCGCUGUGGGAAGCACAAGGUCUUGGGAGAUUGCCACGUUCUAAGAGGGCAUCCAUAUGGCAGAAGUUAAGCUUUUAGACUGGGGAGCACAAAAACACUGUGCAAUGGAAAUCCCUGACACCUGUUUUUUAUCAGUGUGACAGUCAGCAGCAUUCCCCAUAUAUUCAUCUCUUUGACUCACAAGAACUUUCAUCAUCCUGAAUAUUGGUUUAUGGAUUUAGAGCAAUGGACUGAAAUUAAUCCACACCUCUAAACAACGUAGUUGUUUUACAAACAAAAUGACUGUCAGCAAUUUAAAGUCUUUCUCUGGAAGUCACCAGAAAAAAUGAAUGUCUCACUAGCUACCCUACCUUUCUCUAGUAAGCUGUAUACGUAAUUUGAAACUAGAGACUUUCACAGCAAAGCUGUGCUUUAUGCUCUUUUAAUGGUUUUUAGUGUCAUGUUGUGUGGUAUUACAGCGAGUAUUAAUUUCUUAUUUCAUGAAGUACAGUAAACUUAGAAGACAUGAUUGAUCUGGACCCAUGUCUAAGUAAAUAAAGCUACAGGUGGGUAAAAUCAUGCAUAUUUAUACCGGGUUUGAAUCAACUUCCAAGGAGCUUGUUUGAAAAAUCUCUCAAAUUAGUUUCAACAUUUGUUUUGUGCUAUUCACAGAACUGUAGCUUAAGACAUUUAAGUCCUAUAAUAUAGGUAUAAAAUAAUUGAGAGAAUGUAUGGGUUUUGGCAUUUACAAGUCUUUCCUCUGUUCUUUCAGCCAUGUCUUUAGCUCUGAAAAGAUGACAAUGUGACCAAAAUUUCAAUAGAGAUAAAUAAUUUAAGGCAUCAUUCAUAGACUAUUUUUUUUCCAGUCAGAAACAGAGCAAAUGGAAAGCACAAUCUUAAUGUCAGAAUGAUCUUGGAUCUUUUACAAUUUGCAUAGAUGUUUCAACAACUCAGAUUAAUGACAGUUAUCAGAAUAAGUAUUUGACCAUGAGAAUUUGAAGUACUAGAUCUGAAGAGCUAUUUUUAUAGUCAAUAAUGACUUUUUUAUUUAUAUGAAUUUCAAGGUGCAUGUGUCAGAGGACAUGAUGUCUGUAUUCUUGUUGAGUGGAAAAACUUCCACAUCAGAAGCUGUACAGAGGAGAAGAGAAGGACAAAUAAAAUUCUGAAAGACCUUUUACUGAAACAAAAGCAAAUCACAAGGUGUUCUAGUGAAAAAUAUUAAGCCUUAACUUUUCUCUUUGAUAUUCUUCCUGAGCAAUAAACAAAAAGGUGGUGCUACAGGUUUCAAGGUUUGUGGUUGGAAAGGGACAGCACCUGUGAUUUUAAAGGCAGCAGCUGGAAGGUAAAAUAUCUUAAAGAGAGCAGCUAUUAACAUUUUUAUUUCAACACAAAAUCUGAGAGCAAAUACAGAACUUAAUUGGUGGUGUGUUGUUUUGUUUUCCUUUGUUACUAUUUCUAGCUGCUUUUUUCCUUUUUUUUUUUUAUUUAUUCCUCAGUAACACUACCCUCACUAGAUUUAGAAUUCAUAGAUAGAUACUGCCUUUUCUAUCCAUGUUCUCUUACACCUCAUUUUAAAGUACUAGAUUAUGCCUUAGUUCAAACUUUCUUUUCAAUUUCCUUCUCUCCCUAGGCAUUUCUUUCAAUUGAGAGAUGUAUACCUCUAUUUCAGUCAAUGGGGAUCCACAAAAUACCUCGACACCUUCAUACCUUGAAUCAUCAGGCUCCCAACUAACUUAUUCAGUGCUGAUCACAACUCACCACAUCCUCGCCACCCUCCCCUGAGAUGUGGAAGUACUACUAUUCCAGUUUUACGGGUGAAGCUCCAGGCCAGAUUCUAAAUGAUUUAGGCACCUAACCAACAAGUUGCAUCCUACAGGAAACCAGUGAAAAUCCUGUAUAUGGAAUUAUGACAUCUCCAUAAUUGCUGUCAAAUCAUGUUAACUACUUAUCCUGGAAGAAGUUGGAGAUGACAUCUGCUAGGACAGAGAGAAACUAUGAAACAUAACUCCUGGACACAGUCGAAACAGAGUCCUAUGAAGACAAAGAUUACUCAUGAUCUGCAGCUGCAGAGACCCUUGUCACUUCCACUCAUUUUAUUGGAAAAUUUAGCAAACCUCUCUGCAUAUAAAUUUCUUCUGUUGAACUUAUUUAAAUUGAUAGAGUAGCACAAAACAGAGCAAGACUAUUUAAGAUGCAUAUCAACUUCUUUCUGAUUCUCAGCUAUUAGUAAAUGUAUGCAUGCAGUUUGGAUUUUACAUUCUAAAUAUAGUCAGCUAAUUUUGGAACUGCAACAUGUUUUACUAAAACUGAUUUAUCUAGUUGGGUCUUGAAAAACCCAGGGAUGGGGACUGCACAAUCUCUCUGGGGAUGUGAAACGGGGAUAAGCCCUUCCCGCAGUCUACCAGCCAUGCUCCUGUUAGCGCAGCACAGGAUGUUAUUGCCUUUAUUUGCUGCCAGGGCACAAUGCUGACCUGAAUUCAGCCUUUUUCAGCAGAGCUGCUCUCCACAUAGUUAAUCCUUUUGUCUCUAAUUCCUUGUCUACUAGAAGAACACGAUGCUUCUGGUCUUAAAUUGGAAGUUACCAGUUGUAGAACUCAGCGCUACUAAAGUUGGGAUGAUUUUACUUUUCCCCACUGUAUUCUCCCCCUUCCUCCUGCCUUUUGAAGAACUUCUGUAGUUUUUAGCAUCCCAGAAUAUAGCUUGCUCCUGGGAAGUGCUGGUUUUAGGAAAGAAUCAGGUUGGGGAAAGCUGGGAAAUAAAGUGCCACCUCACAGACUAUUUCUGCAGCACGUUUUGCAUCACCCCUGCCUGCCAGAGAGGCUUCUGCAUACAAGAAGUCCAAAGAACAAAGCAGCUGCAGUCAGACCAAGCCUAGCCUAUUCAGCCUAGAACACAUGGAUGGCAACUACAACUGAAGGAAGAGUAAAACAAAACACAUUUUCUUUAAAUAUUGUUUCUCAUCAAUUCUAGAUCAGGGCCUUCCUACACAAACAAAAUUUAAAUAAAUUAUUUUUUUCUCGUUUGACUUAUUUCGUAACUGACUUCAAAGCAUGCUAAGGUUGCUAUCUGCCCUGAAAUAAACUUUUCUUUAGUGAAGAUCUAAGAUAUUUACCCUGAUUUUUAUCAGAAACUACUACAUCAAAUCCUUUCAAUAUUUAAGCUCAUCCACCAUGUGAAGUCGCCACAGGAGUCUUGUGAGAUAAAACUGGAAGAAAGUGGAGUCACAGAAUGGGAGGACAGGCUUCUGCAAAGCAAUGAAGUAUGAUUCCCUAAUACCUAGCUCCUGAAUUGAAUGCCACAAAUAGCAUUGUUUACAAAUACAUGUACAUAUUUACCACAAAUUCUCAUACUUAUUGUAUCACUCUUGCAUAUGAGGGAAGAAACUGAAAAAUUCACUAUUUUCCUUUCCUGUAGCAUCGCAGCACCCAAGACAGUUAAAAACAGGUACAACCCAGGAGUGCUGGCUGCAUAGACAGCUAUAUAGCUAUGGAAAUCUCAUGACCUUACCUUCUCUGUUUUAUUUUUGGAAAAUAGCUGUUUAGAUGAGAGAACUUCAUUACUUAAGGACCAUGG
Anas platyrhynchos (mallard) is the source of this 6024-nucleotide long non-coding RNA. RefSeq lists it as uncharacterized. The record is from RefSeq and is a predicted model, not a curated record. Lineage: Eukaryota; Metazoa; Chordata; Aves; Anseriformes; Anatidae.